Molecule: long non-coding RNA, 381 nt
Organism: Rhinopithecus roxellana (golden snub-nosed monkey)
Lineage: Eukaryota; Metazoa; Chordata; Mammalia; Primates; Cercopithecidae
Exons: 2
Source: RefSeq, a predicted model, not a curated record
GCAAUUCACUCGGCGAAAUCGCGGACUCUUUUGACCCUUCCGGGCUACCAUUUACUUUCUAAAGAGGGGCGGGACUUCCUGUUUCGCUUUUCUCUGUAGGACUGACUUCCGGCCUUCAAGGGCAAGCAGGGUAUAUACGGUCUCGCUCUUCCGCCCAGUCUUGAGUGCAGUUGUGAGAACACGGUUUACUGCAGCCUCAAAAUCCUGGACCCAAAAGAUCCUCCCACCUCAGCCUGCCUCCCAGGUAGUUGGGACUACAGGCGCACAACACCAUCGCUUCUUGGAUUAAAAGAAAAGGAUGAAACGGGCCCCAGAAAGAGGCGGUGACGUCCCAGAACCCAUGGCAGGGGAGUUGGGAAAAUAAAUAUUUGUAUUGUUAUU